GGACCCUAUGGGUCUUCUAAUUGGAAUGAGAACAAGCUAAACAGCUUAUCGAGAAUCCAGCAGAGGGCAAGUCUGGUGCCAGCAGCCGCGGUAAUUC
Molecule: ribosomal RNA, 97 nt
Filed under: Corallinaceae sp. 464-586
Lineage: Eukaryota; Rhodophyta; Florideophyceae; Corallinales; Corallinaceae
Description: partial 18S ribosomal RNA
Rfam family: Eukaryotic small subunit ribosomal RNA
Source: RNAcentral